Molecule: ribosomal RNA, 465 nt
Filed under: uncultured bacterium
Lineage: Bacteria
Description: partial 16S ribosomal RNA
Rfam family: Bacterial small subunit ribosomal RNA
Source: RNAcentral
GACGAACGCUGGCGGCGUGCUUAACACAUGCAAGUCGAACGGAAAGGCCCUGCUUGCAGGGUACUCGAGUGGCGAACGGGUGAGUAACACGUGGGUGAUCUGCCCUGCACUUCGGGAUAAGCCUGGGAAACUGGGUCUAAUACCGGAUAGGAGCCAUUUUUAGUGUGAUGGUUGGAAAGUUUUUUCGGUGUAGGAUGAGCUCGCGGCCUAUCAGCUUGUUGGUGGGGUAAUGGCCUACCAAGGCGGCGACGGGUAGCCGGCCUGGGAGGGUGGACGGCCACAUUGGGACUGAGAUACGGCCCAGACUCCUACGGGAGGCAGCAGUGGGGAAUAUUGCACAAUGGGCGCAAGCCUGAUGCAGCGACACCGCGUGGGGGAUGACGGCCUUCGGGUUGUAAACUCCUUUCGCUAGGGACGAAGCUUUUUGUGACGGUACCUAGAUAAGAAGCACCGGCUAACUACGUG